CCUGUUUUUAUAAUAAUGGUAUAUGUGACAGAAUUAAAGAGCGCCCUCCCUUCAGAUUUUUCGGAUAUAGCUUUCAUGGCUAGUGACAGCUUGACAAGAUAUAUCCCCCCGGCCUGAGCGCUGGAUGGACCUUGAAGUCUGAAGACCAUAAACCUGGUAAAAAAUCUCUCCGGUUCUAUAAAGAAUGAAAAAUAAUAAUAACGGGUUCUUUUAUAACGCUUUUAAACUUAAUAUCAAAGCGCUUUUCCAUUAUAUUACUCAAGGUCUAAGCUGAAAACAGCUUCGUGUGCUGUUUUACAAAGCGUGUGCGUUCUUUUGUUCCUUAGAAACAAACAAACAAAAAAUUAUAAUCAAACUGAUAAAAUUUAUUUUAACGAUGUUUCAAUGAACUAUAAAUUCCCCAAAGCAUAUACGCGUGAGCUCAUUUUGCAUGAAAACUUCACUUUUUAAAUCGAAUGUGAGCACAUGACAUCGAGCAUGGGCCGGACACAUCACGUGGUCGUCGUGAUUUAUAACAUUGUGCAGCUGUAAAAUGGCGCCUGUUUUCAAAUCGGGUGUAUCUUUCCACCAAAGAGGCUUGUUUUUGGCCUGCCGGAGUUCGUUUUCCCUCAAACGAAGUACACGUCUUGAAUAUUUCAUACAUCAAGCGUGAUCAUGAUAUUCGCUAGAUGAACAUCCAGACAUCCUGUUUUAGGACAGGUUCAAUGGCCAAGGCUUGCUGGAGUCCAUAACCUGGCCCACAGGAGGAGGUGACCAGGCUUCGCUCCCUGAUCACUGACUCCCACUCCAUUGUGGAGAUGACUUAGCCAGGCCAGGCUGACUUCAUCAGCUUAACACUGCAGCACACCUGGCUGACAGAACAGACAUUACUGUAAGAUGGCUAUCACCAUCCAAUCAUGCCAUGACAGCCAGUUCAUACUUCGGAAUGGUGUCAGUGUCCAGCUGCAGAGUGACUCAUCUCUGUCUACGGGGAUGGGUUUGUGCUGUCGUGACUAAGUGCAAGUUUGCCCUGCCUGAGGACUUGGUCAACCGGCUGGACUGGCGAUACUGCGGCUGGAGGGUUGACAAAGACAGCACCACUUUGCCACUGACUCCAAGACCUCUAUCCCACCUGUGAAGUUCAACAGUUGUCCCGCCCACAUUAGAGGAACACGUCCUGCUGAGUCUAACCUGUAGCAAAAUUCAUACGAAGGUGUUUGGAACCAUUGGAGAGACAACACAGAGACUUGUCUCUGUGGUAACUGGAGCAGAGAUCCCGGACACUUUUUGGCAUUUGCAGGAUGGACGUGAUGUACGGUAUUUUGUGAAAUCAAAUGAUGCAGAAGAAGACUUAGACACAUUGGAUUUGAUUUCAGAAGUGGCAAGCUUGAACAUGAUCCUCAACGAUGGAAGGAUGGUAGUGGCAGCACAUUCAUCACCACAAGCAAACGUCACAAUUAUUACAUUACAGACAGACUUCACAGCCUGGCACUUCCUUUACGGCAUCACCAUAGAUGCUGCUAGAACUAUGGUGCUAGCCCAGGCAAAGACGGUGGCCAAUGCCCAGGCUUGGCAAAAGGAGAAAGUCAACAUUUCAAACAGUUGGUGGGCCACAGAAAUUGUCGCCAUAGUAAAGUGUCGAAAAAUAAAACAUAAAUGAGGGUUGCCUCACUUACACCACCAUGUAACACUGCAUGAGCUGUCUCAUAAAAUGACUGAUUUUGCUACCAUUUUUGUGUACAGUUUCUGCUGAAACAAGGAGAUUCUUCUAAAUGCAUACUUAUUCAUGUGUUGUUACCUGUAUAAUCUGUUUUAUUCCUUCAUGAUGAAAAGCUUAAUCUGCUGAACCACCAACGUUGCUACAAAUAACUUGCUUUUAAUAUUUGUCAGACAUUACUCUAUUUUUUUAAUCAUAUUUCAGGAAUUGUUACUUGUACAUGUCUUGUCAAUUGGUCAUCAGUUUUCAAUUAAAAAAGAACUUGAUUGAAGUAAAAUUAAUGACUACAUGUGUAAUGUGUAGUUAUAGCUUCUUUGAUAGCAGGCAUGACACGAAAAGAAACGCUUAAAUGUUUAUGAGAUGUUCUGCAAGAAAGUGAAAAGGUUGGGAUCCUGUACUUUGUGAAAUUGCAAGGAAAUAGGGAAAGAAUAGUAGCUGAUUGAGUUCUGCGCUGAGUAUGGAUAUGGGAAAGCGUGUACAUGUACAAUGCUAACAGUUGGGGGGACAUUGAAACUGUCAUCGGCAUGUUUUAUUCAUAAGAAUAUGUCUCCAUUGUUCAGUGAGUUCAUUCGAAUCACCAGAGAGUUUCACGUUUCAGUGUUUAAUUUAGUAUUUUUUUUUUUAAUAUUUAUUUGGCUUUGCAUUGGGGAUGUUAAUUUCGUACACCAUUUCUGAGAAUUCAGUGUGAUUAUUUAUAUUUGUGUAAGGACAGAACUUAGUAUAAAAUUAGUUUAGUCUUAACUAUAUUCAUCUAUCUGUACAAGAGUUAACAUGUAUUUCACCUGUUAAAUAGUCCAAUUCAUGCCUACAGUCACUGGAAGCAUAUCAACUACACAUAUUUUAGGAUACAUCAACAUUUUUGCAAAUCUUACAUCAUUUUUCAAGACAAAGUUUAUGAUUGCAAGACAGUUAUUUUUGCAAAAGAUUUCAAAACUGCCAUAGAUGAAACAGGUUUACUAAAAGACAUCUAUUAUGAACAGCUUAGAAUAUAGAUAAAUUAUAUUUGGGCAAAUGAUACCUUUUGUUUGGAAUAAAGUGCCUUUUGAACUACAAAUACGCUUUGCUAUAAAUUGUUACCCUUUGUGGAUAGUAAGAUAUCUGGUUGCAAGGAAUGUGGUUUUUUUCAUCGUGUAUCUGUAAUGGUGGCACAGAUAUGCAAAUGAAGCAUGGCUGUUUUCAUAACUAUGAAAAAAUUUACAUAUGUCAUAUUUAAAGAGAAAUGAUACCCUACAGGUAGAGAAAGUGUUCACAAUAUGUAUUUAAAGUUGCUCAUGCAUCACCAUGUGUGAAUCAUUGCGCAAGUGAUUUUGUGACGAACAGGAUACGAAACAACGGGGAGAGAAUUAUGGGAACUUUUACUAUUUCAACUCUUUGCUUUCAGUUUUCUGCUGUUUUGUGUGUGGCCACUUACAUUCCCGAGAAUAUAAAAACAAUUUUUCAAAAAGAUUUCACAGGUAAACUUUGAAACCAUUGAUGGAUGGCACCACUUCUUGCCAAUAUGUACUGGCAAGUUGAUAUCAAUUGUUGAUGCAUAUUUGAUUGGGUCUAAUCAAUCCAUGUUAUAAUGGCUGAAAAAAGUACCUUUAACAUUCAGAGUUUAAUUUCACAGCUAUACUAACCGUGGAAUUCUGCUCUUGCUACUGUUCUGUGAUAUACUAUGCCAGCAUCAGCAUAUUUUAUGUCAUUUCUUACUUACUCGACUGCGAAUACACAGUCCCUAUAAUAUAGUAAUUAAUCUACAUGAUAAGCAAACCAUUGAUACAUAAAUCUUCGCUAUAGUGAGGGACAAUUCUUUUCCAUGUGAUUAGCAAUGCUGUAAAAUUGGGCAUUUACUUAUUAUGGCCUUUUCUUCACUCCUUUUUAUUCCCAAUUUGUAUUUGUGUUUUCAUGUUUAAUACUAUAAAUGCUUUCUGAAUGGCAGAGUUUAUCCAGUUUUUCUUAUGUUUUCUUUCGACUGCCCUUACUAAUGUAGCCAAAUUUAGCAGAAUUUAUGUAAGUUUCCUUAUUUGUAAUGUGAUUGCCAGGUACGGUGGUGCUAAUUCCACCUGUGUAUAUUGUGUUCUAAGUGAACAGCUUUAUGAUGUUAAUAUUCUUCGUUCACUGAUAUUUUCCCCAAUUUUGAUUUUUUUUCUUAUUGUUUAUUAGGCAUGGCAUGUUUGAAGUCUUGUCCAAUUUUGAGAAUAAAUUAUUGAUUAAAGAUAACUACAAUGGAAAAUUUUCUGUAUUUCGUACUGUGCUGCAGUUUCUGCGAGCUCAUAUUUUUUUUGUCCACAACUGAUCAUCAGACAUUAAAAAAUGAU
Acanthaster planci (crown-of-thorns starfish) is the source of this 3996-nucleotide long non-coding RNA. RefSeq lists it as uncharacterized. NCBI's taxonomy places the organism in Eukaryota, Metazoa, Echinodermata, Asteroidea, Valvatida, Acanthasteridae. The record is from RefSeq and is a predicted model, not a curated record.